GGGAUAGAGCAGUGUUAGGAUAACUGACUUUUUGUUGUUCUCUGGGUGCAUUCUUCCCGGCUCCCCCUCUCUCUCCCCCUCACCCUCUCNNNNNNNNNNNNNNNNCUCUCUCUCUCUCUCUCUUUUAAAAAAUCAGCCAUUUGGGGUUUUAAGCCAUAAACGAUUUUUCUUGUUGCAGGGGAUUGCAGAGGCAAAGCUAGGCUAGGUCUUGGAGGCUGGUGUAAGGCGGUGCGUGAAGGCAGGACGCUGAUGGGAGAGACUGGUCGAAGAAAAGCCGAAAUGGAUUCUCCGUGCCUUGGAUGGAGGAAGAGGGGCGAAGCGCGAGCUUCUUCAACUCGUUCUGUCCGGUGAGGAGUGAUCCAGCUUGGGCUGACGAGGGGCUCCGGAGCCUUCACGUUCAGUGCUUUUUACCUGCCAAUCAAACUGCUACAAGACAACACCCUGAUCUGGCAUGGUCGCCGCGGGUCCAAGCCUGUAGUCCCAAAUCGGAAAAUCUCUGCAGCUGGUUACACGCAAAAGAGAAGCCAGGCAACAGACAUAUUACAGAAGAAAGCUCUCGACUCCGAGAUCGAACCUAGAAAUUGUACUCUCCUCAAGAUCCGCUUGAGAGAAUCUGACUGAUGGCUUUGGUCUGAGAGUUCAGACAUCUCUUGUGAUACUAAGAAAGAUUCCUUUUCCAUUUGCUGGAUCCUCCUGUUUUGUCAUCCCUGAGUCCUGUAAGAAGCUCAUCAGGAGGUCCCCUGCGCUGGAAGGACCAUGUGAGUUCAUCCCAGACGAUGGGUGGCACCAUGGUUU
RNAcentral lists this long non-coding RNA (795 nucleotides) under Mus pahari (shrew mouse). RNAcentral describes it as "lncRNA (MGP_PahariEiJ_G0012435.1)". The stretch from base 189 to 459 matches the Rfam family "SOX2 overlapping transcript exon 3". The record is from RNAcentral. Lineage: Eukaryota; Metazoa; Chordata; Mammalia; Rodentia; Muridae.